AGAGUUUGAUCCUGGCUCAGAUUGAACGCUGGCGGCACGCUUAACACAUGCAAGUCGAACGGCAGCAUGGUAUGUGCUUGCACAUACUGAUGGCGAGUGGCGGACGGGUGAGUAAUGCGCAGGAAUAUGCCUUAAAGAGGGGGAUAACAUGGGGAAACUCAUGCUAAUACCGCAUGUGCUCUGAGGAGCGAAGCUGGGGACCUUAUGGCCUGGCGCUUUAAGAAUAGCCUGCGUCUGAUUAGCUAGUUGGUGGGGUAAAGGCCUACCAAGGCGAUGAUCGGUAGCUGGUCUGAGAGGAUGGACAGCCACACUGGGACUGAGACACGGCCCAGACUCCUACGGGAGGCAGCAGUGGGGAAUAUUGGACAAUGGGGGGAACCCUGAUCCAGCGAUGCCGCGUGUGUGAAGAAGGCCUGAGGGUUGUAAAGCACUUUUAGUGGGGAGGAGGUCUUAUAGGUUAAGAGCUAAUGAGAUGGACGUUACUCACAGAAAAAGCACCGGCUAACUCCGUGCCAGCAGCCGCGGUAAUACGGAGGGUGCGAGCGUUAAUCGGAAUGACUGGGCGUAAAGGGUGCGUAGGUGGUUAAAUAAGUUAUAGGUGAAAUCAUAGGGCUCAACCUUGUGUGGAAUUAUAAUACUGUUUAACUAGAGUAUAGGAGAGGGCAGUGGAAUUUCCGGUGUAGCGGUGAAAUGCGUAGAGAUCGGAAGGAACACCAGUUGCGAAGGCGGCUGCCUGGCCAUAUACUGACACUGAGUCACGAAAGCGUGGGUAGCAAACAGGAUUAGAUACCCUGGUAGUC
This 800-nucleotide ribosomal RNA is filed under the name uncultured bacterium. RNAcentral describes it as "bacterial SSU rRNA". It matches the Rfam family "Bacterial small subunit ribosomal RNA", at positions 8 to 795 of the family's 1533-position model. The record is from RNAcentral.